AGAGUAAACCACCUUAAAGAUUUUAUGUUUCGAACCUCUUAAAUCACUUGACUAAAAGCCUUCCCUUACCCAAAUGACUUGGACUGACUGACCAUUUGCAAGAAUUCACUAGAUGUUUUGUGCUUAAUGAAUGUGAGAGUUGGUUGAUUUGAAUGUGUGAAUGCUUGAUGAUGAGUGUAGGGGCAAAAGGAGUUGAGAUAGGCCUAGAGAAGCUAGAGUGUAAUAAGAGAGUGUGCUAAUUGUGUUUGCUAGUUGUGUUUCUUUUGGCUAUGAGCUCCCACCUUAAAACCUCUCUCCCUAUGAGUUCUAGAAAGUUCACUUGU
Molecule: long non-coding RNA, 323 nt
Filed under: Brassica napus (rape)
Lineage: Eukaryota; Viridiplantae; Streptophyta; Magnoliopsida; Brassicales; Brassicaceae
Description: long non-coding RNA (BNAP_LNC018544)
Source: RNAcentral